GCGACCCCAGGUCAGGCGGGAUCACCCGCUGAGUUUAAGCAUA
RNAcentral lists this ribosomal RNA (43 nucleotides) under Glabrella mihieri. Its description in RNAcentral is "partial 28S ribosomal RNA". The record is from RNAcentral. Lineage: Eukaryota; Viridiplantae; Streptophyta; Magnoliopsida; Lamiales; Gesneriaceae. RNAcentral also lists the same sequence under 7 other names.